Molecule: ribosomal RNA, 374 nt
Filed under: Ichthyophis glutinosus (Ceylon caecilian)
Lineage: Eukaryota; Metazoa; Chordata; Amphibia; Gymnophiona; Ichthyophiidae
Description: partial 12S ribosomal RNA
Rfam family: Bacterial small subunit ribosomal RNA
Source: RNAcentral
UGCUUAGCUACAAACUGAACUACAUUUCCACCAGAACACUACGAGUAAACACUUAAAAAUCAAAGGACUUGGCGGUGCUCAAAAUCUAUCCAGAGGAGCCUGUUCUAUAAUCGAUAAUCCACGCUAAACCUUACCACUCUUUGCCAAACAGCCUAUAUACCACCGUCUACAGCUUACCCUACUGAAGGAUAACAAGUGAGCAAAAUAAACCUACUAAAAACGUCAGGUCAAGGUGUAGCAUAUAGAGUGGCAAGAAAUGGGCUACAUUUUCUUAUUAAGAAAAAACGAAAAAGAAAAUGAAAAAUUUCUUAGAAGGCGGAUUUGGCAGUAAAAAGAAACAAUCAAGUUCUUUUUAACACAGCCCUUGAGCGCGC